Molecule: antisense RNA, 69 nt
Rfam family: ASpks TB sRNA
CUUCACCGAACCCAGCCACAGGGGCCGUUCCCGGUUCUGCCCGUACGUCGCCUCCAGCGCCUGCGCCUC